AGUCCAUGCAACGAGGCGAUCCAGCUUGGGUUGGUUUUAUAUAUGCCUUCUUAAUCUUUUCUGGAGUGUCAAUUGAGGUGUUGACCGAAUCUCAAUAUUUCCAGAAUGUUAUGCGCGUUGGUUUCCGGCUGAGAUCAACUUUGGUGGCUGCUAUAUUUAGAAAAUCAUUACGAUUGACUCAUGAGAGUCGCAAGAGUUUCUCUACAGGAAAGAUAACAAAUAUGAUUACCACAGAUGCUAAUUCACUUCAGGUAAA
Long non-coding RNA from Humulus lupulus (European hop), 256 nucleotides. RefSeq lists it as uncharacterized. The record is from RefSeq and is a predicted model, not a curated record. NCBI's taxonomy places the organism in Eukaryota, Viridiplantae, Streptophyta, Magnoliopsida, Rosales, Cannabaceae. The transcript has 3 exons.